GUUGGCGAGGCAUAGUGGCAAGUGCCCAGGCCUUGGGAGUCAGAGGACCUGGGUUCCAAUUCCAGCUCCACCA
Molecule: transfer RNA, 73 nt
Filed under: Ornithorhynchus anatinus (platypus)
Lineage: Eukaryota; Metazoa; Chordata; Mammalia; Monotremata; Ornithorhynchidae
Rfam family: tRNA
About the family: Transfer RNA (tRNA) molecules are approximately 80 nucleotides in length. Their secondary structure includes four short double-helical elements and three loops (D, anti-codon, and T loops).
Source: Rfam by way of RNAcentral